CUCAGUUCGGAUUGGAGUCUGNAACCCGACUCCAUGAAGCUGGAUUCGCUAGUAAUCGCGCAUCAGCCGCGGCGCGGUGAAUACGUUCCCGGGCCUUGUACACACCGCCCGUCAAGCCAUGAGAGUUGGGAAUACCCGAAGCCUGUGAGCUAACUGUAAGGAGGCAGCAGUCGAAGGUAGAAUCAAUGAUUGGGGUGAAGUCGUAACAAGGUACC
RNAcentral lists this ribosomal RNA (215 nucleotides) under uncultured bacterium. RNAcentral describes it as "partial 16S ribosomal RNA". It matches the Rfam family "Bacterial small subunit ribosomal RNA", at positions 1287 to 1500 of the family's 1533-position model. The record is from RNAcentral.